Pygocentrus nattereri (red-bellied piranha) is the source of this 217-nucleotide long non-coding RNA. RefSeq lists it as uncharacterized. The transcript is spliced from 3 exons. The record is from RefSeq and is a predicted model, not a curated record. Lineage: Eukaryota; Metazoa; Chordata; Actinopteri; Characiformes; Serrasalmidae.
AGCGAGGCUCUGCCAGGAAGUUUUUCGGAGCUCCCUUCUUCAAAUAAAGUCCGUCAAAGCUUAUUUGAUCCAGUCUUGUCUGCCUGUUGCACAGUGAAGAGGCUGGAACGGCCCGUAAUUGAGGUGUGACCCAAAUAACAGAACAUGGUGCGCACUUGACUGAGCCCCAUUGACCUACAUAUGAGGGAAACAUUGGCAAAGCAGUGCAAGCAGCACC